AUCCUUGACAGCAGAAUGUGUGUUCCUGAGGAGUUCAGAUAUUAACUUUAAAACCUUUAUAUGCUGACUUGCAUUGAAGAUACAGCUUUCUGCUGUGACAUAGUUGUUAUUCAUAGUUGCUGUGCAUGAAUUAGAUAAUGUAGUUGCAUGCUUAAUCUGUUUUGGAGUGCCAAAGUUGAUCUGAGAUGAUUGAUGGAUAAAUAUCUUGACUUAUAUAUUACAAUGACUGGAUUUUGCUGUUUGGAAAUUCUUUGGUUGUUCACCCCAAAAUGAAAACUAGCUGAUUUCAGUUAGUAAGUGCCAGUGCAUACAUUACCCUUUUCUUUCUUCAAAAAGAGAAGUAUUUUGUAGUUAAGGAACAAUCAAGUCAAUUUAUGGUCACAUAGAUAUAUGUGCUGAUCUUCUUACCAUUCUGAAAUAGAUAGGAUGAUAUGACAACUAUGAGUUUUACUGAUAACUAAAGGCUGGGGAGGAAAUUUCUGUAAUUGAUUUGAUUCACAAACUUGUUGAGAUUGCUUCUUUGUAAUUCUGUAAUCUUAUUACCAUUCUGGAAUAGAAAGGAUCAUAUUGUACUUGGGCAUUUGGCGGUUGUUUGCAGUGUAUUGGUACACAGCGGUGGGGUGCAUGGUGGACAUUACUAGGCCUUUAUCAGGCCGAUGCUUUCCAAUCAUUGUAUGGAAAAGUUGUGCAAGCUCUAAGAAGAGGCGACCUCCGACUUCUUCGGCAUGCUUUUCAAGAGCAUGAAGACAGGUUCUUUAGGUUUGCUGUAUAUCUUGUCCUAGAGAAGCUAGAACUUCAGGUCUAUCAGAGAUUGUUGAAAAAAAGAUUUAUAUUAUCCAAAAGCAGAAGGACCCAAGAAAAGCUCACCAGCUGAAGUUGGAAGUAAUUGUCAAAGCAUUGAAAUGGUCAUUGAUGUGGAUGAGG
Molecule: long non-coding RNA, 924 nt
Organism: Rosa chinensis
Lineage: Eukaryota; Viridiplantae; Streptophyta; Magnoliopsida; Rosales; Rosaceae
Exons: 4
Source: RefSeq, a predicted model, not a curated record